UUCACGGUUGGAGCCUGCGGGGGCUAAGCGGGGGACACUUCGGCACCGCUUUCCCCGCUCAGGUCCGGGAGCCCGCGUGUCGGGCCGUCAGUCGGUCCUCACGCUGCGCCGAGGGACAUGACCUUCAUGGAAUGAUCACUGAAGUCAGCUUAAGUUAGUUACUUCAACCUCGGCCCCGCUGUCACGUGUGUCCUGGAGUGGGGAGCCGGGAAGACAGAACAGGGUCCCGAUCAGCCACGUCGGGCUCCGUGGCAUCUCCCCACAGGCUUCCAGGCCGUCACCGAGCCCUCCAGUCUCCCACUUCUUCCUCUAACAGUGCCUCCGUGGCACUUGUGAAUUCCCCUUGAAGUCAUGGAUUUCAGGAUCUGAUCUGACCUAAGAUAUCCCAUGAUACCCAGACAUAAUUUGGUAGAGUUUAGCUGCUCAGUGUACUGCUUUAUCAUACAAUACAGAGAUUGACUAGGACAUACGUAAUUCCUUUUGUUGACAAAAUACUUAGGAUCUUCCAAAAAGAAGUAGGUAACUCUCCUCUCAGCUUUCACUGCAAAUGCUCAAUAAAAUCUCACAGUAUGUUUCAGUAUGGAAA
This is a long non-coding RNA of Herpailurus yagouaroundi (jaguarundi), 586 nucleotides long. RefSeq lists it as uncharacterized. The transcript is spliced from 2 exons. The record is from RefSeq and is a predicted model, not a curated record. Lineage: Eukaryota; Metazoa; Chordata; Mammalia; Carnivora; Felidae.